CGUAUGCCGCGUUUGGGAAGCCCUUUUGAUCUUCGAAAGUUGGAAACAGUAAACGGGAAAUCUCCGAACGGAAGAAACGAGAAAAAGCUGAUACGAAGCCAUAAUAAGGUUGAAGAUGAUGAGGGAGAGAUCGCUGAAGUUCGUUGUUUCAGCGUCUUUGCUUCUUCUAGCAACCUGUUUCUACAGUGCGAUUUCGUCCGAUGCUUCCGGUGACGGUGCGGCUUCAACUGCUACCACAAUGCACACUAACAACUGGGCCGUUUUGGUCUGCACCUCUCGCUUUUGGUUUAACUACCGUCACAUGGCAAACACUCUGUCUUUAUACAGAACUGUAAAACGGUUGGGCAUACCAGAUGAAAGAAUUAUUCUGAUGUUGGCUGAUGAUAUGGCUUGCAAUGCACGGAACAAAUACCCUGCUCAAGUCUUUAAUAAUGAAAACCAUAGGCUUAACUUGUAUGGAGAUAAUGUUGAGGUAGAUUAUCGAGGGUAUGAAGUAACUGUUGAGAACUUCUUCAGAGUCUUAACAGGCCGUCAUGAAGCUGCUGUCCCCCGGUCAAAACGUCUUUUAAGUGAUGAAGGAAGCCACAUACUGGUUUAUAUGACAGGGCAUGGUGGAGAUGAGUUCUUAAAAUUUCAGGAUGCAGAGGAGCUUCAGAGUCAUGAUUUAGCUGAUGCAGUAAAACAAAUGAAAGAAAAGCGUAGAUUCAAGGAGCUGUUAAUAAUGGUUGAUACUUGCCAAGCUGCUACACUUUUCUCUCAGCUUCAUUCACCUGGUGUUUUGGCUAUUGGAAGUAGCAAGAAAGGAGAAAAUUCCUAUUCACACCACUUAGACUCUGAUGUUGGUGUCUCAGUUAUAGAUCGAUUCACAUUUUAUACCCUUGCCUUUUUUGAGAGGGUAAAUAUGUAUAGCAACGCCUCAUUAAGCAGUCUCUUCAAUUCAUAUAACCCAAAUUUGUUGAUGUCAACGGCAUAUUAUCGAACUGAUCUAUACCCGCGUCUACUGGAGGAGGUGCCCGUGACAAACUUUUUUGGUUCAGUCAUGGAGACAAUCCACACUGAUUCUGCAUACAAGGCUUUCUCUACUGAAAGGGCUACAAUCAAGAAGCCAGUGGAUCAAUCAGACCAUUACAUACGAAGAACACUAUCUAGUUCUGGUGAGCAAGAGCAAACUAGUGACUCAAAUACCAAGGGUCAACCAGUAAAUUGUCCUUUCACACGUUUUUGGAGUUCUAUCCACAUCAAGAUGGAAAGGAUCAAGGAUGUGGAUAGCCUGAUGUCAUAUGGCAUGGCAUUAAUGCUCCCCUUGGUGGCGAUUUCCUCUUGGCUGUCACAUUGAUGAUUGUAAGUAGCUUACUCCCAUUCUGUUUGAUCUUUCCAUGUGCACAUCUUUUUGCACCAAAAAGCUGUCGUUUUCAUGAAGAAUGUAAAUCACGAGCCUUAUCAGAAACCGUCGCGAUGGAAGAACUGAAUUCCCAAAUGCAACUGAUGUCAACCGGUUGAUUGAACGAGAUGAAAUUGUAUUUAGCCACGAACAACCUUAUGCUCAAAUUUAAUAUCCCUGACUAGUUAGUCCCUCAGAUAGGGUAUAGGACUUCACUUUAUUUUUUCUCUAAUCUGUAAAAUUGCAAAUUUAUUGGGUUUUUUUUUUUUUUUUUUUUUUUUUUUUUUUUUUUUUUUUUUUUUUUUCUGAUUUAGUGCCUGUAUAUUUGGUAUUGUUGUAUGGUCGUUUUGUAUUGAUGUAAGACUACAUCAUUGAGUACUUCACACUUGAAUUGCAUGGAUAUAGGCUGCCCUCUUUUUUUUGCCUUCCAAGGGAGAUAAACAAAAACUUAUAUAACAAUGCCUGUUGGCACUAGUGUUCAUAAUA
This is an RNA transcript of Ipomoea nil (Japanese morning glory), 1867 nucleotides long. It is a transcript of the gene named putative GPI-anchor transamidase, with no coding region annotated. The transcript has 11 exons. The record is from RefSeq and is a predicted model, not a curated record. Lineage: Eukaryota; Viridiplantae; Streptophyta; Magnoliopsida; Solanales; Convolvulaceae.